RNAcentral lists this transfer RNA (89 nucleotides) under Candidatus Gottesmanbacteria bacterium RBG_16_52_11. RNAcentral describes it as "tRNA-Ser". It matches the Rfam family "tRNA". From Rfam's summary of the family: Transfer RNA (tRNA) molecules are approximately 80 nucleotides in length. Lineage: Bacteria; Candidatus Gottesmaniibacteriota. The record is from RNAcentral.
GGAGGGUUGGCUGAGUGGUUCAAAGCGACGGUCUCGAAAACCGUUCUCCCUUUCGGGAGGCACAGGUUCGAAUCCUGUACCCUCCGCCC